This is a non-coding RNA of Biomphalaria pfeifferi, 605 nucleotides long. The record is from the annotation of a GenBank genome assembly. Lineage: Eukaryota; Metazoa; Mollusca; Gastropoda; Planorbidae.
UAUUAAAUUUUGAUAAGAGCAUGAGAAUGUAUAAUAUCCUUGUUAGAAUGAACUACAAAUGCAGAGGCUUAUCAGGUUAGGAUAGUAUUAUCAAACUUGUUUGACUGACUUUCAAAUAUAAACAAGAAUAGAUAACUCUAAAAUUUCCAGAAGAAGCAUUUCCUAAUUUUAAACACUAUAUAAUAGUUGUUUUUUUUACAAAAGCAUGUACUUGCCACUACACUAUUAUCACAGACAUUAAAUUGUGAGAUUUAUACUUAAAGCUUACCACUUUAUGAUUUACAAUCUUAUAGUUCUUCAGCAACAAUGAUUAGUACCCUAACUACUGGUACAGACAUACAGCAUUCUUGUAAUAUGUAUAUCUUUCAACAAAAUAAUGUAUUUUUUUAUUAACUCAACUGCUGAAAAUAAUCAAAUGGCUUUGUUAUUGGGACAAACCUGUUCUAAGAUUUCAGGUGCCUCUUUUGUUGAAUUCCUGCCUCCCUGGUGGAGUCUUUUGAGUGAUCAAACAUAGUUUCUGUUUCCUAAAAUGUUUUUUCGUGUUUGAAAAUUGUGAUCAAACAUAGUUUCUGUUUCCUAAAAUGUUUUUUCGUGUUUGAAAAUUA